UUCUGACCUCGAAUCAGGUGGGACUACCCGCUGAACUUAAGCAUAUCAAUAAGCGGAGGAAAAGAAACUAACAAGGAUUCCCCUAGUAACGGCGAGUGAAGCGGGAUGAGCUCAAAUUUAAAAUCUGGUAGUCUUUGACUGCCCGAGUUGUAAUCUAGAGAAGUGUUUUCUGUGCUGGACUGUGUUCAAGUUUCCUGGAUAUGGAACAUCAUAGAGGGUGAGAAUCCCGUCCUUGACACAGACUUCCAGUGCUAUGUGAUGCACUCUCAACGAGUCGAGUUGUUUGGGAUUGCAGCUCAAAAUGGGAGGUAA
Molecule: ribosomal RNA, 312 nt
Filed under: Hydnum cremeoalbum
Lineage: Eukaryota; Fungi; Basidiomycota; Agaricomycetes; Cantharellales; Hydnaceae
Description: partial 28S ribosomal RNA
Rfam family: Eukaryotic large subunit ribosomal RNA
Source: RNAcentral